UACAGAGGGGGCGAGCGUUGUUCGGAAUUACUGGGCGUAAAGGGCGCGUAGGCGGCCAACUAAGUCAGACGUGAAAUCCCUCGGCUCAACCGGGGAACUGCGUCUGAUACUGGAUGGCUUGAAUUUGGGAGAGGGAUGCGGAAUUCCAGGUGUAGCGGUGAAAUGCGUAGAUAUCUGGAGGAACACCGGUGGCGAAGGCGGCAUCCUGGACCGAGAUUGACGCUGAUGCGCGAAAGCUAGGGGAGCAAACGGG
Molecule: ribosomal RNA, 253 nt
Filed under: uncultured bacterium
Lineage: Bacteria
Description: partial 16S ribosomal RNA
Rfam family: Bacterial small subunit ribosomal RNA
Source: RNAcentral